Molecule: long non-coding RNA, 508 nt
Organism: Osmerus eperlanus (European smelt)
Lineage: Eukaryota; Metazoa; Chordata; Actinopteri; Osmeriformes; Osmeridae
Exons: 4
Source: RefSeq, a predicted model, not a curated record
GGCAAAGUAUUACAAUGGGUUCUUGACAAAGGCUGGAUAAGACACACUGUAGUUCCUCCAGUGAGGCCAACGGGUUGCGGUGAGAAGGCCGGCUGUGUCCGAUAAUAAGGAGAGAGAAAAGAGCCACCCUUAACCAAUAGGAGACCAAGAUAACCCCAAGAUUCCCCACUGCCCCACGUCAGAGAUCUGCCAUUGGACAAUGAAAACGACGAAUGGAAACAAGUCAAGUUUCCCCCGGCUGCAGUCAGGGAAAUCAGUUUGGGAUUUGCAGAGAAACCGAAACUAAGCCGGGCCGCUACGUCAGAACCUCAUCUGCAGAAGUGGAGUGGAGGGACUUGAUUCAGGAAUAAGAGGCAUGGAUAAUCCCUAAGAAUCUCUCAGCUGUUACAUCCUCCACACAAGAUACAAGGGCACCAGAGCUGCAGUUUGUGAACAGCCUAAUGACAUACCAGUCUUAAAGGAUUAUGCUUGGGCUUAAAUAUGGCAUAUUUGUCUAAAUUAAAUGACG